UCGAAAGGAAGAUUAAUACCCCAUAAUAUUUAGAAUGGCAUCAUUUUAAAUUGAAAACUCCGGUGGAUAGAGAUGGGCACGCGCAAGAUUAGAUAGUUGGUGAGGUAACGGCUCACCAAGUCUGCGAUCUUUAGGGGGCCUGAGAGGGUGAUCCCCCACACUGGUACUGAGACACGGACCAGACUCCUACGGGAGGCAGCAGUGAGGAAUAUUGGACAAUGGGUGCGAGCCUGAUCCAGCCAUCCCGCGUGAAGGACGACGGCCCUAUGGGUUGUAAACUCCUUUUGUAUAGGGAUAAACCUAGAUACGUGUAUCUAGCUGAAGGUACUAUACGAAUAAGCACCGGCUAACUCCGUGCCAGCAGCCGCGGUAAUACGGAGGGUGCAAGCGUUAUCCGGAUUUAUUGGGUUUAAAGGGUCCGUAGGCGGAUUUGUAAGUCAGUGGUGAAAUCUCACAGCUUAACUGUGAAACUGCCAUUGAUACUGCAGGUCUUGAGUGUUGUUGAAGUAGCUGGAAUAAGUAGUGUAGCGGUGAAAUGCAUAGAUAUUACUUAGAACACCAAUUGCGAAGGCAGGUUACUAAGCAACAACUGACGCUGAUGGACGAAAGCGUGGGGAGCGAACAGGAUUAGAUACCCUGGUAGUCCACGCCGUAAACGAUGCUAACUCGUUUUUGGGUUUUCGGAUUCAGAGACUAAGCGAAAGU
RNAcentral lists this ribosomal RNA (705 nucleotides) under uncultured bacterium. RNAcentral's name for it is "bacterial SSU rRNA". It matches the Rfam family "Bacterial small subunit ribosomal RNA", at positions 151 to 858 of the family's 1533-position model. The record is from RNAcentral.